RNAcentral lists this ribosomal RNA (292 nucleotides) under uncultured bacterium. Its description in RNAcentral is "partial 16S ribosomal RNA". It matches the Rfam family "Bacterial small subunit ribosomal RNA", at positions 505 to 796 of the family's 1533-position model. The record is from RNAcentral.
GUGCCAGCCGCCGCGGUAAUACAGAGGUCCCAAGCGUUGUUCGGAUUUACUGGGCGUAAAGGGUGCGUAGGUGGUGGACUAAGUCGGGUGUGAAAUCUCCGGGCUCAACCCGGAGCAUGCGCCCGAUACUGGACCGCUAGAGGAUGGGAGGGGAGACUGGAAUUCUCGGUGUAGCAGUGAAAUGCGUAGAUAUCGAGAGGAACACCGGUGGCGAAGGCGAGUCUCUGGACCAUUCCUGACACUGAGGCACGAAAGCCGGGGGAGCAAACAGGAUUAGAUACCCUCGUAGUCC